GAUGAACGCUGGCGGCGUGCUUAACACAUGCAAGUCGAACGAAGCUCCUAAGUUUGCGAUUUCGGUCAAGAACGAGGGAAGACUUAGUGGCGGACGGGUGAGUAAUGCGUGAGCAACCUGCCCUUCGGAGGGGGACAACAGUUGGAAACGACUGCUAAUACCGCAUAAUGUGCAGAAACCGCAUGGUUUUUGUACCAAAGAUUUAUCGCCGAGGGAUGGGCUCACGUCUGAUUAGCUAGUUGGUGAGGUAACGGCUCACCAAGGCUGCGAUCAGUAGCCGGACUGAGAGGUUGACCGGCCACAUUGGGACUGAGAUACGGCCCAGACUCCUACGGGAGGCAGCAGUGGGGAAUAUUGGGCAAUGGGCGCAAGCCUGACCCAGCAACGCCGCGUGAAGGAAGAAGGCUUUCGGGUUGUAAACUUCUUUUUUGGGGGACGAAAAAAAUGACGGUACCCCAAGAAUAAGCUCCGGCUAACUACGUGCCAGCAGCCGCAGUAAAAC
RNAcentral lists this ribosomal RNA (502 nucleotides) under uncultured bacterium. Its description in RNAcentral is "bacterial SSU rRNA". It matches the Rfam family "Bacterial small subunit ribosomal RNA", at positions 28 to 526 of the family's 1533-position model. The record is from RNAcentral.